UAGGCCCACCUCAGACCUGCUAGGUCAGAUCUCUGAGCGGGGUGGCGCCCAGGAAUCUGCAUUUUAGC
This 68-nucleotide microRNA precursor is filed under the name Procavia capensis (Cape rock hyrax). RNAcentral's name for it is "miRNA (ENSPCAG00000019861.1)". The record is from RNAcentral. Lineage: Eukaryota; Metazoa; Chordata; Mammalia; Hyracoidea; Procaviidae.